RNAcentral lists this ribosomal RNA (501 nucleotides) under Triticum aestivum (bread wheat). Its description in RNAcentral is "partial small subunit ribosomal RNA". Lineage: Eukaryota; Viridiplantae; Streptophyta; Magnoliopsida; Poales; Poaceae. The record is from RNAcentral.
AUGGUAGGAGCAGACUUCCUCCGCCGCCGCACCCUUCCGGACAAAGGAAGGCCAGCUUGGGAUUACAAGAAUGCAGUGGAUAUCAUGCGGGAGAAAGCCAUCAGGGAGGAGACGGACCUUAUCCGCAGUACCACCAAGGAAGAGCUGGCGUACAUUGCCAACAGGGCGGCGGAAGCAAGGAUGGCCGGGGGCGCCGGCGGGUCUGGAUCCGCGGCAACCAAUGUUGGUGAAGCGGUUGAGGACGAACUAGUAGAUGAGGCGUUGGAAGGGCCUAUCGGAGGACAAGAAGCGCUUGCCGGGGAACAGGGCGACGAAACCGCUGAGGAGCAGGUGCACAAGGAGCCCCCUGUUCCUCCUGUUCCGGCAAAGAAAACCCGCACCCUCCGGAAAGCCGCCUCCGGAGUUCACCCUCCUUCGGGCGAUGAAGUGGCCGCCAAGGGAGCGGCCGCCAAAGCCAUCGGGCGGCAAGGAUCUGGACGCCAAGCUCCUCAACAACAGUAA